CAGCCGCCGCGGGAAUACGGAGGGAGCUAGCGUUGUUCGGAAUUACUGGGCGUAAAGCGCGCGUAGGCGGUUACUCAAGUCAGAGGUGAAAGCCCGGGGCUCAACCCCGGAACUGCCUUUGAUACUGGAAGUCUUGAGUAUGGUAGAGGUGAGUGGAAUUCCGAGUGUAGAGGUGAAAUUCGUAGAUAUUCGGAGGAACACCAGUGGCGAAGGCGGCUCACUGGACCAUUACUGACGCUGAGGUGCGAAAGCGUGGGGAGCAAACAGGAUUAGAUACCCCAGUAGUCCCUGUCUCUUAUAC
This 301-nucleotide ribosomal RNA is filed under the name uncultured bacterium. Its description in RNAcentral is "partial 16S ribosomal RNA". It matches the Rfam family "Bacterial small subunit ribosomal RNA", at positions 509 to 807 of the family's 1533-position model. The record is from RNAcentral.